GACGAACGCUGACGGCGUGCUUAACACAUGCAAGUCGAACGCUGAAGCUUGGUGCUUGCACUGGGUGGGUGAGUGGCGAACGGGUGAGUAAUAAGUGAGUAACCUGCCCUUGACUCUGGGAUAAGCCUGGGAAACUGGGUCUAAUACUGGAUACGACAUGUCACCGCAUGGUGGUGUGUGGAAAGGGGUUGACUGGUUUUGGAUGGGCUCACGGCCUAUCAGCUUGUUGGUGGGGUAAUGGCUCACCAAGGCGACGACGGGUAGCCGGCCUGAGAGGGUGACCGGCCACACUGGGACUGAGACACGGCCCAGACUCCUACGGGAGGCAGCAGUGGGGAAUAUUGCACAAUGGGCGGAAGCCUGAUGCAGCGACGCCGCGUGAGGGAUGACGGCCUUCGGGUUGUAAACCUCUUUCAGCACGGAAGAAGCGAAAGUGACGGUACGUGCAGAAGAAGCGCCGGCUAACUACGUG
RNAcentral lists this ribosomal RNA (472 nucleotides) under uncultured bacterium. Its description in RNAcentral is "partial 16S ribosomal RNA". It matches the Rfam family "Bacterial small subunit ribosomal RNA", at positions 28 to 507 of the family's 1533-position model. The record is from RNAcentral.